Molecule: long non-coding RNA, 2290 nt
Organism: Varanus komodoensis (Komodo dragon)
Lineage: Eukaryota; Metazoa; Chordata; Lepidosauria; Squamata; Varanidae
Exons: 2
Source: RefSeq, a predicted model, not a curated record
CCUGUUGCAAGCGGUAGCAUCCCUAUCUCUCCCGCUCCUUCUCUCUAGCUGGGAGGGGCUCCUCCUCUCCUCCUCCUCCUCCUCCUCCUCCUCCUAGCACAGAAGUGAAGUGCAAUGGGCAACUUCAGGGCUCCUGCUCUCUCCCUUCUCAUGGGUUUUGAACCUUCAGACUGAACAGCCCCUCCAAUAGAAGACACCUCCAAAUAGAAGGCUUCUUUCAUGGCCAUCCUAUCUCUGCUGCAGCUGUUCUUUUCCUCUGAGCUUUUUGGGUCAGGAAUUGAAAGGAGUAGAAAGAUGGAGACCUCAGUGCUUCCAAUCUUUCACUUCCUGCUGAAGUUCUUCCUGGAGAAGCAUAGAGGGAAAAGAAUUCAAUUCCCAGGCUGUACCAGGCAGAGAGGAGGGGAGGAAACUUCCUCUUGCUGGCAUGAUUCAAUGUAGCCAACCCUCCACCCUUUUGAGGAAGAGAGGCUGCGGCUGGGAUAAAUCUGCCUUUGAUUGGGAUGCCUUGGUCUUUCCCUGUCUCCUUUCAUUUUCCGAAGAAACCAGGCAGUGCUGCCUGCUACACAGUGUUCCUCCUUCCUGGGUAGUCCAUUCUGAUGUUGUCUUUCUUCUGAGGAUGCUGAGCAAGAAAGGAGAUUGGCACACAGUUGGAAAGAGGAAUUGUAGGUGGCACACGGGGUCAGCUGGAGCUGGAAUUGUUAGCAGACCGCUUUGUGUGCCUGGCUGCAGCAUUAGCUGCACACAAAGCUUAUGUACAUCCCUGCACUGAAAAGCAAGGAGGGAAUACACAGAAGUUAUGUGUAGAGAAUACAAGGGAGACACUCAUUUUGACUGUCCCUAGGCGUACACUGUCAUGUUGGAUAGCACAGCUGGCAGAACAGGGACUGAGGGAGCACCUCCUGAAUUUGCAAGGCUCAAAUGAGUACAUCACUAAUGAUUUAGGUAUUUUUAAGUUUUCCCUCCCCUUCUUCUAGAGCUAAGCCUUACAAGCAACAUACAAAGAAUAUAUGAAAUGAUGGUAUGUAAAGGAGAGCAAGGCAUAUGAAAAACAGCUUUGGAUGAUGCAGUCACUAAUUUUCUUAACAAUAUGGAUCAGUAAAAAAAAAUACAUUUUAAGGUAUCAACCAGAAAUGAUUUCCAGAACUGUGGGGGCAACGACCAAGAAGGCCUUGGCUCUCAUGCUUACCAAUCAAAUCAAUGUUAUAAGUGCAGACACUAGAAAGAUCUCCAGCACCUAACUUAUCUCUUGUAUGGGCAGGCCGACACAUAUAAAGGCAUAUAUACCCGGGCGUUACUGAAUGAAACAUGGCCUAUAAUCUUGAGUCCAUCACUUGUUCCAUGCAUAUGUGACUCAAUGUUCCCCAGCAUCAGAUUCCCUACAAGGCUGAAUAAUAGCAGUUAGCAUUUAUAAACCACAUUUCUGUGUUCCAGACACUCAUCCCUGUAUUGAUAGUCCUUCCAAACAACCCUGUAAGGUUUGCCAGUAUUAUUAUCUUAAUUUUGUGGAUGAAGAAACAGGCUAAUAGAAAAGUCACUCAGAUACAACACUGGCUGUGGUUACAUUUCAGUCAGAGGCACCCCAUUGCACACUUACCAAAGGAUUCAACUGCAUUCCUGUUACUGCACGAUAAUGGUAAUUCAUUUGCUGUGUCAGCAGAGAUCAUAGCAGAACAGGAAGAAACUAAAGUGGAUUAGCAGCUCUGUGUCAUUCAUACCAACCUGGUUUGCAUGCCGGGUUGUGGGUUAAAUAACUCAAAAUAAGCCAAGAUGUCAUUUUUGAACAGGUAAUUCCUGAUAGGAAUGAUUAUGAGCUGGCUGUGUUGUACAAAUUUGACCACCAUGGGCUGUGAGUUCAACAGGGUGAGAGAACAGCUUUGGAUCAUACAGCUGACACACCCACUGGUUGACCCAUCAUGGUUCUAUGUGUUUCCAAGGCUGAGCAUCUUUUAGGAGCACGAUGAAACCUGCCUUCUGUGGCUGGCCUUCAGGGCUAGCUGGUAGAGAACAUUUCAGCCAUACUUUUAUUUGAUUCACUUUUUUUCCCCUUAGGUAGGCUUGGAGGUGAAGGUGAUUCUGCUACCUGGUCUAAGCCUUUGGAAUGGUGCCAGGUAUAAAUCCACAGAUAUUUCAAGCAAGAACUUAUCAGUUGAUCUGGCAGAUUCAUUAAUUAACUAUCUUGAGCUGGUUUAUUGGUGACUAAUCAGCACAUGAAUUGGGAACACAUCUAUGUGUACAGUUUUAAGAAUAUCUAAUUCUGGUGCAUUAUUGUAAUACAACAUUUUUAACAGAA